UAGGAACCUAGGUGUGCUAUUCUUACCUUGCAAGUUUCUAGCAUUUGUAAAACUGCAUUUUUAUAUCUCAAAAUAUAUCUAAAAUAUGGCCUAUACUAGCCAUGUCAAUUGUAGAAAAGUUAAUCCAUGCAUUUAUGACUUCAAGGUUAGAUUAUUGUAAUGCUUUAUUGGGUGGUUGUUCUGCACGCUUGGUAAACAAACUACAGCUAGUCCAAAAUGCAGCAGCAAGAGUUCUUACUAGAACCAGGAAGUAUGACCAUAUUAGCCCGGUCCUGUCCACACUGCACUGGCUCCCUAUCAAACAUCGUAUAGAUUUUAAAAUAUUGCUUAUUACUUAUAAAGCCCUGAAUGGUUUAGCACCUCAGUAUUUGAAUGAGCUCCUUUUACAUUAUACUCCUCUACGUCCGCUACGUUCUCAAAACUCAGGCAAUUUGAUAAUACCUAGAAUAUCAAAAUCAACUGCGGGCGGCAGAUCCUUUUCCUAUUUGGUGCCUAAACUCUGGAAUAACCUACCUAACAUUGUUCGGGAGGCAGACACACUCUUGCAGUUUAAAUCUAGAUUAAAGACCCAUCUCUUUAACCUGGCAUACACAUAACAUACUAAUAUGCUUUUAAUAUCCAAAUCCGUUAAAUUAUUUUUAGGCUGCAUUAAUUAGGUAAACCGGAACCGGAAACACUUCACAUAACACCGUACUUUCUACAUCAUUAGAAGAAUGGCAUCUACGCUAAUAUUUGUCUGUUUCUCUCUUGUUCCGAGGUCACCGUGGCCACCAGAUCCAGUCUUUUUCCAGAUCAGAGGGUCACUGCAGUCGCCUGGAUCCAGUACGUAUCCAGACCAGAUGGUGGAUCAGCACCUAGAAAGGACCUCUACUGCCCUGAAAGACAGCGGAGACCAGGACAACUGAAGCCCCAGAUACAGAUCCCCUGUAAAGACCUUGUCUCAGAGGAUCACCAGGACAAGACCACAGGAAACAGAUGAUUCUUCUGCACAAUUUGACUUUGCUGCAGCCUGGAAUUGAACUACUGGUUUCGUCUGGUCAGAGGAGAACUGGCCCCCCAACUGAGCCUGGUUUCUCCCAAGGUUUUUUUCUCCAUUCUGUCACCGAUGGAGUUUCGGUUCCUUGCCGCUGUCGCCUCUGGCUUGCUUAGUUGGGGUCACUUCAUCUACAGCGAUAUCAUUGACUUGAUUUCAAAUAAAUGCACAGACACUAUUUAAACUGAACAGAGAUGACAUCACUGAAUUCAAUUAUGAACUGCCUUUAACUAUCAUUUUGCAUUAUUGAGACACUGUUUUCCAAAUGAAUGUUGUUCAGUGCUUUGACGCAAUGUAUUUUGUUUAAAGCACUAUAUAAAUAAAGGUGAUUGAUUGAU
Molecule: long non-coding RNA, 1371 nt
Organism: Carassius gibelio (silver crucian carp)
Lineage: Eukaryota; Metazoa; Chordata; Actinopteri; Cypriniformes; Cyprinidae
Exons: 3
Source: RefSeq, a predicted model, not a curated record